This 1407-nucleotide ribosomal RNA is filed under the name Kocuria sp. LY106. RNAcentral describes it as "16S ribosomal RNA". It matches the Rfam family "Bacterial small subunit ribosomal RNA". Lineage: Bacteria; Bacillati; Actinomycetota; Actinomycetes; Micrococcales; Micrococcaceae. The record is from RNAcentral.
AGUCGAACGAUGAUGCCCAGCUUGCUGGGCGGAUUAGUGGCGAACGGCAGUGAAAUACGUGAGUAACCUGCCCUUGACUCUGGGAUAAGCCUGGGAAACUGGGUCUAAUACUGGAUACUACCUCUUACCGCAUGGUGGGUGGUGGAAAGGGUUUUACUGGUUUUGGAUGGGCUCACGGCCUAUCAGCUUGUUGGUGGGGUAAUGGCUCACCAAGGCGACGACGGGUAGCCGGCCUGAGAGGGUGACCGGCCACACUGGGACUGAGACACGGCCCAGACUCCUACGGGAGGCAGCAGUGGGGAAUAUUGCACAAUGGGCGGAAGCCUGAUGCAGCGACGCCGCGUGAGGGAAUGACGGCCUUCCGGGAUUGUUAAACCUCUUUCAGUAGGGAAGAAAGCGAGAGUGACGGUACCUGCAGAAGAAAGCGCCGGCUAACUACGUGCCAGCAGCCGCGGUAAUACGUAGGGCGCAAGCGUUGUCCCGGAAUUAUUGGGCGUAAAGAGCUCGUAGGCGGUUUGUCGCGUCUGCUGUGAAAGCCCGGGGCUCAACCCCGGGUCUGCAGUGGGUACGGGCAGACUAGAGUGCAGUAGGGGAGACUGGAAUUCCUGGUGUAGCGGUGAAAUGCGCAGAUAUCAGGAGGAACACCGAUGGCGAAGGCAGGUCUCUGGGCUGUUACUGACGCUGAGGAGCGAAAGCAUGGGGAGCGAACCAGGAUUAGAUACCCUGGUAGUCCAUGCCGUAAACGUUGGGCACUAGGUGUGGGGGGACAUUCCACGUUUUCCGCGCCGUAGCUAACGCAUUAAGUGCCCCGCCUGGGGAGUACGGCCGCAAGGCUAAAACUCAAAGGAAUUGACGGGGGCCCGCACAAGCGGCGGAGCAUGCGGAUUAAUUCGAUGCAACGCGAAGAACCUUACCAAGGCUUGACAUUCACCGGACCGCCCCAGAGAUGGGGUUUCCCUUCGGGGCUGGUGGACAGGUGGUGCAUGGUUGUCGUCAGCUCGUGUCGUGAGAUGUUGGGUUAAGUCCCGCAACGAGCGCAACCCUCGUUCUAUGUUGCCAGCACGUGAUGGUGGGGACUCAUAGGAGACUGCCGGGGUCAACUCGGAGGAAGGUGGGGAUGACGUCAAAUCAUCAUGCCCCUUAUGUCUUGGGCUUCACGCAUGCUACAAUGGCCGGUACAAAGGGUUGCGAUACUGUGAGGUGGAGCUAAUCCCAAAAAGCCGGUCUCAGUUCGGAUUGAGGUCUGCAACUCGACCUCAUGAAGUCGGAGUCGCUAGUAAUCGCAGAUCAGCAACGCUGCGGUGAAUACGUUCCCGGGCCUUGUACACACCGCCCGUCAAAUCGCGAAAGUUGGUAACACCCGAAGCCGGUGGCCUAACCCCUUGUGGGAGGGAGCCGUCGAAGGUG